AACGCUGGCGGCGUGCCUUACACAUGCAAGUCGAACGUGAAAGUACCUUCGGGUAUGAGUAAAGUGGCGCACGGGUGAGUAACGCGUGGAUAAUCUACCGGGAAGUUCGGAAUAACAGCUGGAAACGGUUGCUAAUACCGGAUACACUACAUAUAAACGUAUGUGGGAAAGACGGCCUCUGCAUAUGCUGUUGCUUUCCGAUGAGUCCGCGUACCAUUAGCUAGUUGGUGGGGUAAAGGCCUACCAAGGCGACGAUGGUUAACUGGUCUGAGAGGAUGAUCAGUCACACUGGAACUGGAACACGGUCCAGACUCCUACGGGAGGCAGCAGUGGGGAAUAUUGCGCAAUGGGCGAAAGCCUGACGCAGCGACGCCGCGUGAGGGAUGAAGGUCUUCGGAUCGUAAACCUCUGUCAGCAGGGAAGAACGGUCACUGUGCUAAUCAGCAGUGAAUUGACGGUACCUGCAAAGGAAGCACCGGCUAACUCCGUGCCAGCAGCCGCGGUAAUACGGAGGGUGCGAGCGUUAAUCGGAAUUACUGGGCGUAAAGCGCUCGUAGGCGGUAUGUCAAGUCAAGGGUGAAAUCCCCGCGCUCAACGUGGGAACUGCCUUUGAAACUGGCAAACUGGAGUGUGUGAGAGGAUAGUGGAAUUCCAGGUGUAGGAGUGAAAUCCGUAGAUAUCUGGAGGAAC
Molecule: ribosomal RNA, 690 nt
Filed under: uncultured Bilophila sp.
Lineage: Bacteria; Pseudomonadati; Thermodesulfobacteriota; Desulfovibrionia; Desulfovibrionales; Desulfovibrionaceae
Description: bacterial SSU rRNA
Rfam family: Bacterial small subunit ribosomal RNA
Source: RNAcentral